RNAcentral lists this ribosomal RNA (442 nucleotides) under uncultured bacterium. RNAcentral's name for it is "partial 16S ribosomal RNA". It matches the Rfam family "Bacterial small subunit ribosomal RNA", at positions 338 to 795 of the family's 1533-position model. The record is from RNAcentral.
CCUACGGGGCGCAGCAGUGGGGGAUAUUGCACAAUGGGGGAAACCCUGAUGCAGCGACGCCGCGUGGGCGAAGAAGUAUUUCGGUAUGUAAAGCCCUAUCAGCAGGGAAGAAGAAAUGACGGUACCGGAGUAAGAAGCACCGGCUAAAUACGUGCCAGCAGCAGCGGUAAUACGUAUGGUGCAAGCGUUAUCCGGAUUUACUGGGGGUAAAGGGAGCGCAGGCGGCACGGCAAGCCUGAUGUGAAAGCCCGCGGCCGAACCGCGGGACUGCAUUGGGAACUACCGGGCUGGAGUGCCGGAGAGGUAGGCGGAAUUCCUAGUGUAGCGGUGAAAUGCGUAGAUAUUAGGAGGAACACCAGUGGCGAAGGCGGCCUACUGGACGGUGACUGACGCUGAGGCUCGAAAGCGUGGGGAGCAAACAGGAUUAGAUACCCUUGUAGUC